This is a long non-coding RNA of Suricata suricatta (meerkat), 691 nucleotides long. RefSeq lists it as uncharacterized. The record is from RefSeq and is a predicted model, not a curated record. The transcript is spliced from 2 exons. Lineage: Eukaryota; Metazoa; Chordata; Mammalia; Carnivora; Herpestidae.
UCAGCCUGUUGACCUCCUCCUGCUGCCGCUUCAUAAUCACCUGCUUCUCCUCCAAAAGCAUCGUGUGCCUCUCCUCCAACAGCUCCUGCUCAAACUUUUUAAUGGAUUCCUAGAGAGGGGGAGGAUGGAGGUGCAGCCUCACCUCAGUGUAGAAGAUCAUCACACCCACGAACAUGCUGAGGAAGAUGAAGGAGGCAAGCAAGAUGAAGACGAUGGUGAAUGCCCGGCUGAGGGCCAAGUUCUGAUUAUCCAACUGCUCCUGUAGGUCUGUCCAGCCAUCAACCUGCUCAGGCAAGGGAGGGCAUGCCAAGUGCCAAGGCCCAAUGGGGCAGGCCUCCCUCUCACCUACCCUAGGGGAGCCCCCAGCCCCACUGAGAAUACAUCUGGCUCUGCCUCCACAUCAGCCUCCCCCCACCAGCCCCCAUCCAUGACUCUAGCCCACAGAGGGUGACUGGGGACGCAAGUAUAAUGUGCCACUAGGUACAGAAACUACUGGCCAAGGUGCCCAAAGGCACACUAUCUUUCCAAAAAGGACACUGCAUCUCUGCAAAGCCCUCCUUUGGAAAGGACCCAGAGUCUACACUUCUAGACUUGGGCUUUCAGGCUGAUUCUGACUGGAUUUGUGACAGCCUAGUCCCAGAAAGCCUAUGUAACAUGGGCAUCAUUUCUAAAGUAAACUUAAACCAAAUGA